GUGCCAGCCGCCGCGGUAAUACGGAGGGUGCGAGCGUUAUUCGGAAUUACUGGGCGUAAAGCGCGUGCAGGCGGUCUUGUAAGUCUGAUGUGAAAGCCCCGGGCUUAACCUGGGAAGUGCAUUGGAUACUGCUCGACUUGAGUUCUGGGGAGGAAGGGAGAAUUCCCGGUGUAGAGGUGAAAUUCGUAGAGAUCGGGAGGAACAUCAGUGGCGAAGGCGCCCUUCUGGACAGCAACUGACGCUGAGACGCGAAAGCGUGGGGAGCAAACAGGAUUAGAAACCCUCGUAGUCC
RNAcentral lists this ribosomal RNA (292 nucleotides) under uncultured bacterium. Its description in RNAcentral is "partial 16S ribosomal RNA". It matches the Rfam family "Bacterial small subunit ribosomal RNA", at positions 505 to 796 of the family's 1533-position model. The record is from RNAcentral.